RNAcentral lists this small RNA (642 nucleotides) under pig gut metagenome. The record is from RNAcentral.
AUGCAAUGGCGCAGUAUCCUAGUCAGCCUUUUCGGUUUCGGGGAAGGGCCUAAAAAUCCUUUGAAGGGCAUAACUGUGAAGCCCGUGGUGUCUGCUUCUUACGCCCAGUUUGGGGUGGAUGCUGGGGGAAGGCGAUUUUCGCCUGCGGUGCUCGGGCAUGCCUCAAUGGCAUGAGGAUCAUGACCCGGUCGCUGUGGAGACCGGAUAUUGUGCAGAGGCGUACUCCCUUUGCGGUUCGCGACCUUUGUACGAUACCGGAUGUGAACCUGCAUUGCGGUGCUACCCGGCUUUAUGCCGUGAACGCUGUGUGCAGUGUAGCCUGCCUUGCGUGAGCAGGUCGGGAGAGGAAAGCUAUGCGUUCGAAUGCAUGGCCUUGCGUUCAGGGCGAUAUUUCCUUGAAAGACUGUUUGCAAAAGAGGAUAAGGACCGAAGUCAGCUGUCGUGGAAAGCACCUAGGCUGUCGUUACUGGGCAAAUAUGGGAUUGCGGUACGGACUAAGUGGCAAUCGGGUACCGGUAUUGGCAACAUACCGGCAGAAAGAUGAAAGGGAAACCGCCUCAACCGGCGACGGGAGGUUCUUUCCGGGGAAAACAAACCCGACCUAAGCCGUAAGAUUAACCAUAUUUGCCGCCUUGCUUUCCU